Molecule: long non-coding RNA, 1007 nt
Filed under: Ananas comosus (pineapple)
Lineage: Eukaryota; Viridiplantae; Streptophyta; Magnoliopsida; Poales; Bromeliaceae
Description: long non-coding RNA (ACOM_LNC000622)
Source: RNAcentral
AUUUCUCAAUUAGUUUAGGUGCGCGAAAUUAAUAACUUUGUCUUGUAAGUGUUUCAGAGAGUUUGGAGUUCCAUCUCAGCCAGUUAGUGCAGCAUUGCCAUCUGCUGUGAUGGAUCCGUCUCCGUUGGUUGAUUAAAAUGAGUGGUAGGUGAUUGUAUGAUUUAGUUACGUAAAAAAUCAAUGUGAAUAGUUAAUCUUAUAUAUCUCUGCAGGUCUACUGUCCCUCCUUAUCAAAGUCCACGACCAUCAUCUUAUGUUCACGAAUGGACGGAUUGGGAAGUCAGAACCACUAUCCCUCCUUAUCAAAAUAAAGGUCCAUCAUGUAGUGUUCAUCAAUGGCCGGCUUGCAAUGAAAGAAAUACUAGCCCUCCCUAUGUAGAUGAAGUCCAGGAUCAUCUAGUGUUCAUGAAUGGCCGGCUUGGGAAGAAAGAAAUACUAGCCCUCCCUAUGUAGAUGAAGGUCCAGGAUCAUCUAGUGUUCAUGAAUGACCGGCUUGGGAAGUAAGAAAUACUAACCCUCCUUAUGUAGAUGCAGGUCCAGGACCAUCUAGUGUUCAUCAAUGGUCGGCUUGGCCAGUAAGAAAUACUAUCCCUCCUUAUCAAAAUGAAGAUCCAUCAUGUACUCAUCGUGAAUGGACCAAUCGGGGAGUGACUACAACUGAUCUAUUGGACGUAAGUAGAAGUGAUGAGGAGUAUGUUAGUGAAACUGAUGAAGAGGAUCAAGGGCGAAUUGAUGCUGAUUCUAGUGAUGACGAGGAGUCCUUUGUUGCGUGUUCUUUGGAUCCUGAUCAUGACGGUGGCUUGAAUGCCCUCGCAUGCGCCAUUCGAGAUGAAGGUGUUGAAUGGAUUAAAAACUCAAAUGCCAACAAUGAAGAUGUACCGGAUCCGGUGGAAUUCGUGGAAUUUGAAGAUCAACGACAACGGUUUGUCCUGGGUAAUGAAUUAAUUAAUCAAAGCGUUGUUGAUGCAUAUAGUGAACAAAAUAUUGAUCAGGGUCCUCCAAGUGAU